Myotis brandtii (Brandt's bat) is the source of this 75-nucleotide non-coding RNA. The record is from Rfam. NCBI's taxonomy places the organism in Eukaryota, Metazoa, Chordata, Mammalia, Chiroptera, Vespertilionidae.
GGAGGUUCUCGGGUGAUUCACCCUGGAAUCGGGCUCUCUCCUGUCUGGUUCUGGGUGCGUCAUCUGAGAACUGCA